This 317-nucleotide ribosomal RNA is filed under the name uncultured eukaryote. Its description in RNAcentral is "partial large subunit ribosomal RNA". It matches the Rfam family "Eukaryotic large subunit ribosomal RNA", at positions 40 to 350 of the family's 3401-position model. The record is from RNAcentral.
AUAUCAGUAAGCGGUGGAAAAGAAACCAACAGGGAUCCCCCCAGUAACGGCGAGUGAACAGGGGUCAGCCCAGCGCCGAAUCGCGUCGCCCCAGCGGCCUCGUGAGGUGUGGCGUAUGGACGGGCGUAGCUGCUUUGCAUUGGCGACCGACUUCCUUCCGGAACGAGGACUCACAGAGGGUGAUAAGCCGUAGUGCCGCCUAAGCUUAGUGGUGUUUCUCCCGGCCUUGAGUCGAGUUGCUUGGGAAUGCAGCUCUAAUUGGGUGGUACACUUCAUCCAAGGCUGAAUACUUCCACGAGACCGAUAGCGCACAAGUA